UCAAACUCUUCAGGUGAUCAGUCAUGGACAGAACUGUGCUUCUGGUCCUGUUGAGUCUGCAGGCUCUCCUCCUCAUCACCGCCUUCACUCAUGAUGGAGCAGCUUCUGUGACCAUACCUGAUCGGCAAGUUUUGAAGGCUCAAAACGUGGAGAAAAUAUCAGGGCAAAGAAAGCAUGUAACACAGGCCAACAAAUGCAAAUAUAAGCCAGGAGCAUGCCGACCUUUUGGGAUCAAAAAAUGAAGAGCAGCAUCAGGAUGUAAGCUCUCCUCUUCACUGAUCACACCACAAACUCCCCUGCAAAGACGGAUCUCGGCUGCAUCAAAUCACUUCGUGAAAACAUGUUCCCAUGUCCUGUAUUUCAAAUGUGUUUUCUUUUUGAGGAUUUUUAGAAAAUCAAAUGUCUUAAAAACAGAUAAUCCCUGAAGGGAGAUUUAAUUGAGGACUUCAUUUGUUUUGUACUUUGAUGAUAAUUUCCUUUUUGCUGAUGUUUUCUUACUGUAAAAAAAGAGCAAGAAAUACAAUGCAUUGUUGAAGAUUAAACGAUCAGACACGUUG
Long non-coding RNA from Cheilinus undulatus (humphead wrasse), 557 nucleotides. RefSeq lists it as uncharacterized. The record is from RefSeq and is a predicted model, not a curated record. Lineage: Eukaryota; Metazoa; Chordata; Actinopteri; Labriformes; Labridae. The transcript has 3 exons.